GUCUAUGGCCAUGCUACCCUGAACAAGCCUGAUCCCGUCUGAUCUCAGAAGCUAAGCACGGUCAGGCUUGAUUAGUACUUGGAAGGGAGACCGACUAGGAAGACCAGGAGCUGUAGGUG
This 119-nucleotide ribosomal RNA is filed under the name Pteropus alecto (black flying fox). The record is from RNAcentral. Lineage: Eukaryota; Metazoa; Chordata; Mammalia; Chiroptera; Pteropodidae.